ACGGAAGGCAGCAGUGGGGAAUAUUGCACAAUGGGGGAAACUCUGACGCAGUGACGCCGCGUGCGGGAAGAAGGUUUUCGGAUUGUAAACUGCUUUAGACAGGGAAGAAGAAGUGACAGUACCUGUAGAAUAAGCUCCGGCUAACUACGUGCCAGCAGCCGCGGUAAUACGUAGGGAGCAAGCGUUAUCCGGAUUUAUUGGGUGUAAAGGGUGCGUAGACGGGAGAUUAAGUUAGUUGUGAAAUCCCUCAGCUCAACUGAGGAACUGCAACUAAGACUGAUUUUCUUGAGUACUGGAGAGGAAAGUGGAAUUCCUAGUGUAGCGGUGAAAUGCGUAGAUAUUAGGAGGAACACCAGUGGCGAAGGCGACUUUCUGGACAGAAACUGACGUUGAGGCACGAAAGUGUGGGGAGCAAACAGGAUUAGAUACCCUGGUA
Molecule: ribosomal RNA, 436 nt
Rfam family: Bacterial small subunit ribosomal RNA